AACGAACGCUGGCGGCAUGCCUAACACAUGCAAGUCGAACGAGACCUUCGGGUCUAGUGGCGCACGGGUGCGUAACGCGUGGGAACCUGCCCUUAGGUUCGGAAUAACUCCCCGAAAGGGGUGCUAAUACCGGAUAAUGUCUUCGGACCAAAGAUUUAUCGCCUUUGGAUGGGCCCGCGUUGGAUUAGCUAGUUGGUAGUGUAAAAGCCUACCAAGGCGACGAUCCAUAGCUGGUCUGAGAGGAUGAUCAGCCACACUGGGACUGAGACACGGCCCAGACUCCUACGGGAGGCAGCAGUGGGGAAUAGUGGACAAUGGGCGAAAGACUGAUCCAGCAAUGCCGCGUGAGUGAUGAAGGCCUUAGGGUUGUAAAGCUCUUUUACCCGGGAUGAUAAUGACAGUACCGGGAGAAUAAGCUCCGGCUAACUCCGUG
RNAcentral lists this ribosomal RNA (433 nucleotides) under uncultured bacterium. Its description in RNAcentral is "partial 16S ribosomal RNA". It matches the Rfam family "Bacterial small subunit ribosomal RNA", at positions 29 to 507 of the family's 1533-position model. The record is from RNAcentral.